This 114-nucleotide small nucleolar RNA is filed under the name Mus caroli (Ryukyu mouse). RNAcentral describes it as "snoRNA (MGP_CAROLIEiJ_G0035831.1)". It matches the Rfam family "Small nucleolar RNA SNORA17". From Rfam's summary of the family: snoRNA ACA 17 belongs to the H/ACA family of snoRNAs and is predicted to guide pseudouridylation of the 28S rRNA at positions U4659 and U4598. It shares the same host gene together with ACA43. NB This family has a high threshold value to exclude a large number of closely related sequences that do not appear to have conserved H and ACA boxes, and may be pseudogenes. Lineage: Eukaryota; Metazoa; Chordata; Mammalia; Rodentia; Muridae. The record is from RNAcentral.
CCUGUCCCUAGAGGCAUUGCAGGUGUGGCCGCUGUGUCCCGCAUGCGUCAGUAGGUGGCAGAGGGGAGAGAUCUGUCUGGGUCCCUGGCCCUGAAGGAGGAGGGGUCUGUUACC